GGUGCCCUGAUCAUGACUCACAUCUACUCACCUGUCUCUCAUUUUUGCAGCAAGAGGACUUGGCUAAUUAAAAAGGACAACAGCUUUUAUAAAGUAGAUUUUCAUGUUUGAAGAAGAGAAUGUUGGAAAUUUAUAGCUUCUCGUUUUAUUGAAUUAAUGGUGAGCUAGAAACAGGAAGGAAAACAGAAAUAAUCACACAUACAGUCUACAGGCAACUUGGGAAAAGUGACUUAUGCCAACAUUGUCACAAUUUCCCAAAAGAAGUGAUCUUUAAUCAAUACAAACAAAAUCUUGCUAUCUGCACCAUCCCUGCUCUGUUAUCAGCACCAAGACCAUUGUGAUUAUGAACGAGAACAAAAGCCUCAACAACAAUGUGGUGCUGGAACUUCAUUUUGUUUAUAUGAGUGCCUGAAUGAUUAUUCAACAGUGAAGAAUCAUGCUGUCUUACCUCACUCAACUGUUUUGAUGCUUGGAUACAAAUGAAGGGACAAAAUAUUCAAUUUUAGUUGAGCAGGAAAUAAAAAAAAGUAGAUAUUAUUUCAAUGCCAUUUUAAAAAAGUGCAGUUCUGUUUUAACUCUAUUUUAUAUGUAUUUCUGAUAUUGAAACAAGCAAAUGUUUGCCACCAUUACAACCAUUUGUGGUAAUAUUUUGCUGUUUGAGCACAUUAGUUGAAAGCCAAGUAAAUAUCACAGCCCUAUGCUCUGAAGUUCUCUAUUCAGCUGCAUGUUAGCAGUAGUACCAAAGGGUCAAGUGCUGUUUUCUGCCCUGUACACCAAGUGCCUGGGAAUGUAAAAAGCUAGUUUAAUCCACCAGGCUUGACUAGCAAAGAGGCUCUGUGGCUCAACUGGUAUCAGUGUCUCAAAGUUACAUCACUGUAAAACUGAUAGUUUCCAUCACUGGAAAUCUCCAAUAAAUAUGAAUAAACAACAUGAAAUAUAACAGUUGGAAAUAUGUGGGAGUGUUCAAGACAUGACAUCUGUGUUGGAACAUCAUAUGCCACCAUUUCAGCUGCUGAGAGCAGAUGUCCCAUAUCUGCCUCUCAUUCAAAAGGAAAGGAAAAAUAUUUAAGAGAAAAAAAACCAGCAGCAUUAGGACAGAUCAUUUUAGCUUUUACAGUCAUGCACAGCAAAGAGGAUUACAGUAAAAUGAUCUCACUUUCUUACUUUCCUCAUAUGCUCCUGUCUCUUUUAACACAUGGAUAUAGUAUUUAUUACUGCAAUUUAAAAAAAAGUAAUUGUUUUCCUCUUUCAGGUCACAUAAGCACCGAGUCCUAGACCCCCCCUAUCACAUCUC
Passer domesticus (house sparrow) is the source of this 1294-nucleotide long non-coding RNA. RefSeq lists it as uncharacterized. The transcript is spliced from 3 exons. Lineage: Eukaryota; Metazoa; Chordata; Aves; Passeriformes; Passeridae. The record is from RefSeq and is a predicted model, not a curated record.